AUGAACGCUGGCGGCAUGCUUUACACAUGCAAGUCGAACGGUAACAGGGAGCUUGCUCCGCUGACGAGUGGCGAACGGGUGAGUAAUGCGUCGGAACGUGCCGAGUAGUGGGGGAUAACGCAUCGAAAGGUGUGCUAAUACCGCAUACGAACUGAGGUUGAAAGUGGGGGACCUUCGGGCCUCACGCUAUUCGAGCGGCCGACGUCUGAUUAGCUAGUUGGUGAGGUAAAGGCUCACCAAGGCGACGAUCAGUAGCGGGUCUGAGAGGAUGAUCCGCCACACUGGGACUGAGACACGGCCCAGACUCCUACGGGAGGCAGCAGUGGGGAAUUUUGGACAAUGGGCGCAAGCCUGAUCCAGCCAUGCCGCGUGUCUGAAGAAGGCCUUCGGGUUGUAAAGGACUUUUGUCCGGGAGCAAAUGCCUGGUGUUAAUAGCAUCGGGAGCUGAGAGUACCGGAAGAAUAAGCACCGGCUAACUACGUGCCAGCAGCCGCGGUAAUACGUAGGGUGCAAGCGUUAAUCGGAAUUACUGGGCGUAAAGCGUGCGCAGGCGGUUUUGUAAGCCAGAUGUGAAAGCCCCGGGCUCAACCUGGGAACUGCGUUUGGAACUACAAGACUAGAGUGUGUCAGAGGGGGGUGGAAUUCCGCGUGUAGCGUGA
This 659-nucleotide ribosomal RNA is filed under the name Vogesella sp. Its description in RNAcentral is "bacterial SSU rRNA". It matches the Rfam family "Bacterial small subunit ribosomal RNA", at positions 29 to 684 of the family's 1533-position model. Lineage: Bacteria; Pseudomonadati; Pseudomonadota; Betaproteobacteria; Neisseriales; Chromobacteriaceae. The record is from RNAcentral.